UGGGGAAUAUUGGACAAUGGGCGAAAGCCUGAUCCAGCCAUGCCGCGUGUGUGAAGAAGGUCUUCGGAUUGUAAAGCACUUUAAGUUGGGAGGAAGGGCAUUAACCUAAUACGUUAGUGUUUUGACGUUACCGACAGAAUAAGCACCGGCUAACUCUGUGCCAGCAGCCGCGGUAAUACAGAGGGUGCAAGCGUUAAUCGGAAUUACUGGGCGUAAAGCGCGCGUAGGUGGUUUGUUAAGUUGGAUGUGAAAUCCCCGGGCUCAACCUGGGAACUGCAUUCAAAACUGACAGACUAGAGUAUGGUAGAGGGUGGUGGAAUUUCCUGUGUAGCAGUGAAAUGCGUAGAUAUAGGAAGGAACACCAGUGGCGAAGGCGACCACCUGGACUAAUACUGACACUGAGGUGCGAAAGCGUGGGGAGCAAACA
RNAcentral lists this ribosomal RNA (427 nucleotides) under uncultured bacterium. Its description in RNAcentral is "partial 16S ribosomal RNA". It matches the Rfam family "Bacterial small subunit ribosomal RNA", at positions 355 to 774 of the family's 1533-position model. The record is from RNAcentral.